RNAcentral lists this long non-coding RNA (205 nucleotides) under Elaeis guineensis (African oil palm). Its description in RNAcentral is "long non-coding RNA (EGUI_LNC016475)". Lineage: Eukaryota; Viridiplantae; Streptophyta; Magnoliopsida; Arecales; Arecaceae. The record is from RNAcentral.
GGCUGGAACUAGAUUGAAGCUGACCCAACUACAGAUCGAGCUUUGGGCUGGAUCCAAAAUAGUUCAGAUCGGAUUUAUACCUAAUAUAGGGUUAGUUUGUCUUUUAGAUCGGACUCGGAUAUACAUUUGGCUCGCCCUGACCCCAACUUAGACCCGAGUUCGAAAUCAAGCCCAAUCAAUAGAUCGAAAGGCCGAUAGCUCAAUC